GGCAAUAUGGCCGAGUGGUCUAAGGCGCCAGAAUCAGGUUUCAGCAUUUGAAAUUAAUCUGGUCCGAAAGGGCGAGGGUUCGAAUCCCUCUGUUGUCA
Molecule: non-coding RNA, 98 nt
Organism: Gymnopilus junonius
Lineage: Eukaryota; Fungi; Basidiomycota; Agaricomycetes; Agaricales; Galerinaceae
Source: the annotation of a GenBank genome assembly